This 495-nucleotide ribosomal RNA is filed under the name uncultured bacterium. RNAcentral's name for it is "partial 16S ribosomal RNA". It matches the Rfam family "Bacterial small subunit ribosomal RNA", at positions 28 to 507 of the family's 1533-position model. The record is from RNAcentral.
GACGAACGCUGGCGGCGUGCCUAAUACAUGCAAGUAGAACGCUGAAGGAGGAGCUUGCUUCUCUGGAUGAGUUGCGAACGGGUGAGUAACGCGUAGGUAACCUGCCUGGUAGCGGGGGAUAACUAUUGGAAACGAUAGCUAAUACCGCAUAAUAGUAGAUGUUGCAUGACAUUUGCUUAAAAGGUGCAAUUGCAUCACUACCAGAUGGACCUGCGUUGUAUUAGCUAGUUGGUGAGGUAACGGCUCACCAAGGCAACGAUACAUAGCCGACCUGAGAGGGGGAUCGGCCACACUGGGACUGGGACAAGGCCCAGACUCCUACGGGAGGCAGCAGUAGGGAAUCUUCGGCAAUAGACGGAAGUCUGACCGAGCAACGCCGCGUGAGUGAAGAAGGUUGUCGGAUCGUAAAGCUCUGUUGUAAGAGAAGAACGAGUGUGAGAGUGGAAAGUUCACACUGUGACGGUAUCUUACCAGAAAGGGACGGCUAACUACGUG